GGAUGUGGCGCAGUCCGGUUAGCGCACCUGCUUUGGGAGCAGGGGGUCACAGGUUCGAAUCCUGUUAUCC
RNAcentral lists this transfer RNA (70 nucleotides) under uncultured Alistipes sp. It matches the Rfam family "tRNA". Rfam says of the family: Transfer RNA (tRNA) molecules are approximately 80 nucleotides in length. Their secondary structure includes four short double-helical elements and three loops (D, anti-codon, and T loops). The record is from RNAcentral. Lineage: Bacteria; Pseudomonadati; Bacteroidota; Bacteroidia; Bacteroidales; Rikenellaceae.